This 125-nucleotide small RNA is filed under the name Marmota monax (woodchuck). The record is from RNAcentral. Lineage: Eukaryota; Metazoa; Chordata; Mammalia; Rodentia; Sciuridae.
GCCAGGUGCGGUGGUGCACGCCUGUAAUCUCAGCUGCUUGGGAGGCUGAGGCAGGAGGAUCAAGAGUUCAAAGCCAGCCUCAGCAAUAGCAAGGCGCUAAGCAACUCCAUGAGACACUGUCUCUA